Long non-coding RNA from Lineus longissimus, 1883 nucleotides. RefSeq lists it as uncharacterized. The record is from RefSeq and is a predicted model, not a curated record. NCBI's taxonomy places the organism in Eukaryota, Metazoa, Nemertea, Pilidiophora, Heteronemertea, Lineidae. The transcript has 2 exons.
AUUUCUCCCAAAUGUCAUCUGCAUCGUUCUCACACAAAACAUAUUCCCCCAAUGACAUGGUAACACAACAGCAAUAACAGGAACAUUGCUGAUGGCAUGGCAUCCGCUACAAUUGCGGUUAUUGUGGUCUUUCUGAGCAGAAGCUUUAUACUGCAUUGACUGGGAGUGUCAUUAUCACCGUGGUAUUGACGAUAGGACUCGAUCCACGCAGUCACGGCGACGAGGGCUGCGAUCAGUGUUGGAUAAGAUAUUUGCCAACGCUUGGUUGUCCGGUUACGGAGUUGUUUUACUGUGGGAUUAGGAUACAGCAGUCAUCAGGAUGAAUAUCAUAGAUCACGCCGGGUAUGAUGUUAGCGAUGGGCAUCGAACGAGCUCACCACAUUGGCCCUUCUCCCAGAUCCACCAAUUUCAAGGUCAUAUCUAGACUACCGUGUCGACUUGAGAGAGAGGCCACUAAAAGGAAAAACCCGCGUAUCCAGAAACUAGGAGCUAUCGACAUGUCAAGGUCAAGUCGCCAACGAGCUGUGUCCGCCUGUUCAGACUCUUCUAGAGAAAAUGGCGACUACCAACUAUCAAAACAAACUAAAUUCAUGGAUUACAAAAACUCACCAAAAUUGGUGCCUAAACAAUCAACAGAUAUCCAACCUGUUGCAGAUUAUUCUAGAAGGCGGACAUCGUCGUUUGAUUCUAGUGCCAUACGUGCGGACGAGUCACCAUCACAUCGACCGGGUUCAAAAUCUGGCAAUCCGUAUAAAACUUUGAGACCAGAGGCCAAGGAAAAGGUUGUACGGAAGGUGUCUUUCUCGGAUGACCUUAUAGUCAUAAGUGAUGCCGGCGAGGUCAAGGCAAGAAGGUCACAUUCUGCGCGCCAUGUCCGAUCUCGUGACCUUGAGGCAGACGGCCAUAGGCCGAACGGGACGUGUAGAUACAUGCAUUUAUUAAAGGGACGAGAGGAUCCAUCACACAGUAAGGACUUGGACACUGUCUAUCAUGGACUUUCCUCAUUACUAGGCACCAAGUCUAAGGACUCUGAACGUAAAACCACAAAGGUGCAAUCUACAGAGAAAAGCAGUAAAAAGAAAGUUACAAAGGCUUUAAGCGUUCCGACAAAGAAAGGGUCAACGCAUGCGGGUUCUGUAUAGUACAAAUAAUAAUGAUAACUGUUCAUACAUGUAUUGUUAAGUAUGAAUAUCGGCAAAAAAUGUUGAAGAUAUAUUAUUUUCAAAAGAAGAAAGCCGUUGUAUAGUUUCUGAAAGUGUCGCUUUGCCGUCUGAUUUAGCGUAAGCGUUGUUGUGGCCUGGAGGAGCCGUCAACCGAGCGAUUCUCCAGCACUAGAAAGGAAGUUGAUCCUUGGCCAUACAUACUGAUGAUGAUGUACCGAGAUUAUAUAAUGGGGACAAAGAUCAGAAGUGUCUAUUUCGGCGCUGAGCCUUUUGGUAACAUUGUAAUACCUCGGCCAGGAAUUGUCAUGACCUUCAAAGAGCAGCAACUGCCUUUCAAAUAUAUUGAUAUUAUCUGGAAAGUCUCGCGAAUACUAAGGACAUAUUUGACACUAUAUAAUGUUAUUGGCAAUAUCAAUUUUGUUUGACUGUUCUACGUUCAAAAAAUGGUUGUACUGUUACCAUGUUCAGUUCAGUUACCCUCACUACUGUGGUGAUUCAAUUGACAGAACACCCAAUUGAAUCGGGAUAUGUUCCUUUGGGUAAAAUAGGGGGUCAGUCCUAACAGCCUGUCGUCCCUAUCACGGGAAUAGGCAUAUCCCAAUUCAUUGUGUUCCGCUGAAGCCGAACCAACCGGACAACUAGCAAUGUCAGUUAAGAAUAAUUCUGUGAGUUGACUUACCACUCUGUUGACAUAUGAUAAAUAAAGAGGAAAUUUUCAUU